Molecule: ribosomal RNA, 685 nt
Filed under: Salmonella enterica subsp. enterica serovar Brandenburg
Lineage: Bacteria; Pseudomonadati; Pseudomonadota; Gammaproteobacteria; Enterobacterales; Enterobacteriaceae
Description: partial 23S ribosomal RNA
Rfam family: Bacterial large subunit ribosomal RNA
Source: RNAcentral
UGGGCGUUAAGUUGCAGGGUAUAGACCCGAAACCCGGUGAUCUAGCCAUGGGCAGGUUGAAGGUUGGGUAACACUAACUGGAGGACCGAACCGACUAAUGUUGAAAAAUUAGCGGAUGACCUGUGGCUGGGGGUGAAAGGCCAAUCAAACCGGGAGAUAGCUGGUUCUCCCCGAAAGCUAUUUAGGUAGCGCCUCGUGAAUUCAUCUCCGGGGGUAGAGCACUGUUUCGGCUAGGGGGCCAUCCCGGCUUACCAACCCGAUGCAAACUGCGAAUACCGGAGAAUGUUAUCACGGGAGACACACGGCGGGUGCUAACGUCCGUCGUGAAGAGGGAAACAACCCAGACCGCCAGCUAAGGUCCCAAAGUCAUGGUUAAGUGGGAAACGAUGUGGGAAGGCCCAGACAGCCAGGAUGUUGGCUUAGAAGCAGCCAUCAUUUAAAGAAAGCGUAAUAGCUCACUGGUCGAGUCGGCCUGCGCGGAAGAUGUAACGGGGCUAAACCAUGCACCGAAGCUGCGGCAGCGACGCUGAUGCGUUGUUGGGUAGGGGAGCGUUCUGUAAGCCUGCGAAGGUGGCCUGUGAGGGUUGCUGGAGGUAUCAGAAGUGCGAAUGCUGACAUAAGUAACGAUAAAGCGGGUGAAAAGCCCGCUCGCCGGAAGACCAAGGGUUCCUGUCCAACGUUAAUC